AUUGAACGCUGGCGGAAUGCUUUACACAUGCAAGUCGAGCGGCAGCGCGGCCUUCGGGCUGGCGGCGAGCGGCGAACGGGUGAGUAAUGCAUCGGAACAUGCCCAGUCGUGGGGGAUAACACUUCGAAAGAAGUGCUAAUACCGCAUACGUCCUGAGGGGGAAAGCGGGGGAUCGCAAGACCUCGCGCGAUUGGAGUGGCCGAUGUCAGAUUAGCUAGUUGGUGGGGUAAAGGCCUACCAAGGCGACGAUCUGUAGCUGGUCUGAGAGGAUGAUCAGCCACACUGGGACUGAGACACGGCCCAGACUCCUACGGGAGGCAGCAGUGGGGAAUUUUGGACAAUGGGGGCAACCCUGAUCCAGCUAUUCCGCGUGAGUGAAGAAGGCCUUCGGGUUGUAAAGCUCUUUCGGCAGGAACGAAACGGUGGGCUCUAACAUAGUCCGCUAAUGACGGUACCUGAAGAAGAAGCACCGGCUAACUACGUG
Molecule: ribosomal RNA, 484 nt
Filed under: uncultured bacterium
Lineage: Bacteria
Description: partial 16S ribosomal RNA
Rfam family: Bacterial small subunit ribosomal RNA
Source: RNAcentral